This is a long non-coding RNA of Camelus dromedarius (Arabian camel), 411 nucleotides long. RefSeq lists it as uncharacterized. The record is from RefSeq and is a predicted model, not a curated record. The transcript has 3 exons. Lineage: Eukaryota; Metazoa; Chordata; Mammalia; Artiodactyla; Camelidae.
AAAUGUAGUUGGAAAUGAUGUGAAUGAAGCUGAAGGAAGAGAAAUUUCCAGGACUUAGCACAUAGUCGAUAGUCAAUACUGUCAAACGCUUCCAAGAGAAGCAGGCAGAGAAGCGAACGUGAGUUCCUUCCCCGGAAGUGGGCACGUCACAGAGAAGCUGCUCACCGGGAAGAAAGAACCUCGGAGAAAGCCACAUGCCUCUGCUCUUUUCCUGAUUCUGCCAUGUGCCAAACGGUCCUCGGCCUCAUGGUCCUUUGUCUCCUGGGUGCAGGCUUCCUUGAAGCAGAAGUCACCCAGACUCCCGGGCACCUGGUCAAAGGGACAGGACAGAAAGCGGAAAUGUACUGUGUCCCAAGAAAGGGACACAAUUAUGUUUGCUGGUAUCAACAGAUCCCAGCAAAAGAGUUCAAG